RNAcentral lists this ribosomal RNA (634 nucleotides) under uncultured Marinobacter sp. Its description in RNAcentral is "bacterial SSU rRNA". It matches the Rfam family "Bacterial small subunit ribosomal RNA", at positions 870 to 1504 of the family's 1533-position model. The record is from RNAcentral. Lineage: Bacteria; Pseudomonadati; Pseudomonadota; Gammaproteobacteria; Pseudomonadales; Marinobacteraceae.
CGCCUGGGGAGUGCGGCCGCAAGGUUAAAACUCAAAUGAAUUGACGGGGGCCCGCACAAGCGGUGGAGCAUGUGGUUUAAUUCGACGCAACGCGAAGGACCUUACCUGGCCUUGACAUGCAGAGAACUUUCCAGAGAUGGAUUGGUGCCUUCGGGAACUCUGACACAGGUGCUGCAUGGCCGUCGUCAGCUCGUGUCGUGAGAUGUUGGGUUAAGUCCCGUAACGAGCGCAACCCCUAUCCCUAGUUGCUAGCAGUUCGGCUGAGAACUCUAGGGAGACUGCCGGUGACAAACCGGAGGAAGGUGGGGAUGACGUCGGGUCAUCAUGGCCCUUACGGCCAGGGCUACACACGUGCUACAAUGGCGCGCACAGAGGGCUGCAAACCCGCGAGGGGGAGCCAAUCUCACAAAACGCGUCGUAGUCCGGAUCGCAGUCUGCAACUCGACUGCGUGAAGUCGGAAUCGCUAGUAAUCGUGAAUCAGAAUGUCACGGUGAAUACGUUCCCGGGCCUUGUACACACCGCCCGUCACACCAUGGGAGUGGAUUGCACCAGAAGUGGUUAGUCUAACCUUCGGGAGGACGAUCACCACGGUGUGGUUCAUGACUGGGGUGAAGUCGUAACAAGGUAACCGUA